GACGAGCCACCCAAACGUUAUUCGGAAUUACUGGGCUUAAAGGGUGCGUAGGCGGAUUAUUAAGUCAGUGGUGAAAGCCUGCAGCUUAACUGCAGAACUGCCAUUGAUACUGAUGAUCUUGAGUAUGAUUGAGGUGGGCGGAAUGUGUCAUGUAGCGGUGAAAUGCUUAGAUAUGACACAGAACACCGAUUGCGAAGGCAGCUCACUAAGCCAUAACUGACGCUGAUGCACGAAAGCGUGGGGAGCAAACAGG
This 253-nucleotide ribosomal RNA is filed under the name uncultured bacterium. RNAcentral describes it as "partial 16S ribosomal RNA". It matches the Rfam family "Bacterial small subunit ribosomal RNA", at positions 524 to 776 of the family's 1533-position model. The record is from RNAcentral.